GAUGAACGCUGGCGGCGUGCUUAACACAUGCAAGUCGAACGGUGAAGCAGAGCUUGCUCUGUGGAUCAGUGGCGAACGGGUGAGUAACACGUGAGCAACCUGCCCCUGACUCUGGGAUAAGCGCUGGAAACGGCGUCUAAUACUGGAUAUGAGCUGCGACCGCAUGGUCAGCAGUUGGAAAGAUUUUUCGGUUUGGGAUGGGCUCACGGCCUAUCAGCUUGUUGGUGAGGUAAUGGCUCACCAAGGCGUCGACGGGUAGCCGGCCUGAGAGGGUGACCGGCCACACUGGGACUGAGACACGGCCCAGACUCCAACGGGAGGCAGCAGUGGGGAAUAUUGCACAAUGGGCGAGAGCCUGAUGCAGCAACGCCGCGUGAGGGAUGACGGCCUUCGGGUUGUAAACCUCUUUUAGCAGGGAAGAAGCGAAAGUGACGGUACCUGCAGAAAAAGCGCCGGCUAACUACGUG
Molecule: ribosomal RNA, 467 nt
Filed under: uncultured bacterium
Lineage: Bacteria
Description: partial 16S ribosomal RNA
Rfam family: Bacterial small subunit ribosomal RNA
Source: RNAcentral